This 309-nucleotide ribosomal RNA is filed under the name uncultured bacterium. RNAcentral's name for it is "bacterial SSU rRNA". It matches the Rfam family "Bacterial small subunit ribosomal RNA", at positions 28 to 334 of the family's 1533-position model. The record is from RNAcentral.
GACGAACGCUGGCGGCGUGCCUAACACAUGCAAGUCGAACGGGGUAAGAUGCUUCGGUAUUUUACUUAGUGGCGAACGGGUGAGUAACGCGUGAGAAACCUGCCCUGUACUGGGGAAUAAUCAUUGGAAACGAUGACUAAUACCGCAUGUGGUCCUUGGAAGGCAUCUUCUGAGGAAGAAAGGAUUUAUUCGGUACAGGAUGGGCCCGCAUCUGAUUAGCUAGUUGGUGAGAUGACAGCCCACCAAGGCGACGAUCAGUAGCCGACCUGAGAGGGUGAUCGGCCACAUUGGGACUGAGACACGGCCCAA